UCAAGGCAGUAUCUCUCCGAACAUCACAAACACAAACCCUUCUAGGUCAAAGUUAUUGAUGAUUGAUGGAUCUUGUGCACAGAGGGAAUCGACUAUCUCUGGAGAGUAAUGUUCACGGAUUGUUAUGAUCCACAAUGGUACUAGCACAUUGAGGUACUCUUUAACAAAAUCGCCCUUGGUAUUUGCCCAUGCUCUUAAUAUACUAAGCUUCACCUGGAGUUGUUUUUUAUUUAAAGGGAAUUCUGAAGCUCCAAUUUUAAGGAUAGGUUUAUUUUCAGCAACUUCUAGUAAACCAUCCACCAAAUAACUUACUACUCUAUUUGAUAACGACACGGCACAAAUAUCAAAGGCACAACAUAUAACUUCUGGAUAACUUGGUCUACUAAACAACGGAUUAACAACUCCUGUAAUCAACGCUGUAUAUUGCUCCAAUAAAUAUGACGAUUCAUCUUCAGGAUCCACAACAUCUUCAUACACAUCCAAAAUCUUUUUCACCAAUUCUAAUCCACUUACUUGUAAAGAAGGAAUAUUUGAGACAGACGCUGUAUAGCAUAUUUUUAAUAUUGAACUCAAAUCUUCAUCUUUACCUAUUAAAUCACGAUACACCUCCAAUAAAAAUUGCAAUGCAUAAGGACUCAUAUCAGGUAUCUUUAAUAAAACGUUUAAUCUAUUCUCAUGCUUGAGCCAUCCAUAUAUGUAUUUUCUUAGGCUUCUAUACUUUGGAAAAACCAAAAACGAAGUGAAAACUAAACGAUUUAAAACGACAUCUUCAUAAUUGCCCAUUUCCAAUAAAUAUUCCACCGAAACCUUAAAACCUGACCUAGGCAUACCUCUCUUCAAAAAUGACAAAAUUAACGACCUCACAAUCAACAUCGACAUUUUAAAGUUAAAUAAUGUUUCCAUCUUGAACAUGGAUACUAAUUCACUUAUCUUUAAUGAAACUGCCUGAACAUCAGAACACGGACACAUAUUAAGUGAUGACAGCACUGCUUUAAAUUUUACCCUAAUAUUCCGAAGAUCUGGUCCAAUAACUUCAGUCAGCGCUUUCAAAGCGUUUCCAACACCAAGCAGCAUAUUAAACUCACUGUUAUAACUGUUACCAAAUCCAGAUACACUACCUGGUUCAUAAUCAUUCGAGAAUACCAUAUUAAAUAAAAUAUCCAUCACUUUACCAAUUUUUAAUUUAUCAUUAUAAUACCUUCUCAU
This 1206-nucleotide transfer RNA is filed under the name Kluyveromyces marxianus. Its description in RNAcentral is "tRNA-Glu". The record is from RNAcentral. Lineage: Eukaryota; Fungi; Ascomycota; Saccharomycetes; Saccharomycetales; Saccharomycetaceae.